RNAcentral lists this RNase P RNA (463 nucleotides) under Scytonema sp. RU_4_4. RNAcentral's name for it is "RNase P RNA component class A". It matches the Rfam family "Bacterial RNase P class A". Rfam says of the family: Ribonuclease P (RNase P) is a ubiquitous endoribonuclease, found in archaea, bacteria and eukarya as well as chloroplasts and mitochondria. The record is from RNAcentral. Lineage: Bacteria; Bacillati; Cyanobacteriota; Cyanophyceae; Nostocales; Scytonemataceae.
AGAGUAGGCGCAGGUGGUUACAGACCAGUUUCAUUGAAACUGCUUUGAGGAAAGUCCGGACUCCCGAAAGACCAGACUUGCUGGAUAACGCCCAGUGCGAGCGAUCGCGAGGAUAGUGCCACAGAAACAUACCGCCCUUUUUCAGUAAACAGUGAACAGUGAACAGUACACAGUCAGUUACUGAUAACUGAUAACUGAUAACUGAUAACUGAAGAGGGUAAGGGUGCAAAGGUGCGGUAAGAGCGCACCAGCACGACCGAGAGGUCGUGGCUCGGUAAACCCCGGUUGGGAGCAAGGUCACAAGGAACUACGGUUGGUCUUUUACCAGUUCCGCUCUUAUAAGAGCCGCUAGAGGCGUUUGGUAACAAGCGUCCCAGAUAGAUAACCGCCCUCUUGAUAUAGAAAAGUUGUAUGCCUUUCUAGAUUAAGAGAACAGAACCCGGCUUACGUUCCGACUCUCUCC